This 133-nucleotide ribosomal RNA is filed under the name uncultured bacterium. RNAcentral's name for it is "partial 16S ribosomal RNA". It matches the Rfam family "Bacterial small subunit ribosomal RNA", at positions 356 to 481 of the family's 1533-position model. The record is from RNAcentral.
AGGGAAUAUUGCGCAAUGGACGCAAGUCUGACGCAGCAACGCCGCGUGGGUGAUGAAGCAUUUCGGUGUGUAAAACCCUGUCAGUGGGGAAGAAACCUGUUGGGAGUAACUGCCCUUCAGCUGACGGUACCCA